AGCCUUUCGAAAGAAAGAUUAAUACCGAUGGCAUAGUUCUUCCGCAUGGUGGAACUAUUAAAGAAUUUCGGUCAUCGAUGGGGAUGCGUUCCAUUAGGUUGUUGGCGGGGUAACGGCCCACCAAGCCUUCGAUGGAUAGGGGUUCUGAGAGGAAGGUCCCCCACAUUGGAACUGAGACACGGUCCAAACUCCUACGGGAGGCAGCAUG
This 208-nucleotide ribosomal RNA is filed under the name uncultured bacterium. RNAcentral's name for it is "partial 16S ribosomal RNA". It matches the Rfam family "Bacterial small subunit ribosomal RNA", at positions 145 to 353 of the family's 1533-position model. The record is from RNAcentral.